RNAcentral lists this ribosomal RNA (539 nucleotides) under Cryptococcus sp. MA68d. Its description in RNAcentral is "eukaryotic LSU rRNA". It matches the Rfam family "Eukaryotic large subunit ribosomal RNA", at positions 127 to 656 of the family's 3401-position model. The record is from RNAcentral. Lineage: Eukaryota; Fungi; Basidiomycota; Tremellomycetes; Tremellales; Cryptococcaceae.
UCCUCAGGGCGUCCGAGUUGUAAUCUAUAGAGGCGUUUUCCGUGCCGGACCGUGUCCAAGUCCCUUGGAACAGGGUAUCAAAGAGGGUGACAAUCCCGUACUUGACACGACGACCGGUGCUCUGUGAUACGUCUUCUACGAGUCGAGUUGUUUGGGAAUGCAGCUCAAAAUGGGUGGUGAGUUCCAUCUAAAGCUAAAUAUUGGCGAGAGACCGAUAGCGAACAAGUACCGUGAGGGAAAGAUGAAAAGCACUUUGGAAAGAGAGUUAAACAGUACGUGAAAUUGUUGAAAGGGAAACGAUUGAAGUCAGUCGUGACUGUUGGGCUCAGCAGGUUCUGCCUGUGUAUUCCCUUCAGUCGGGUCAACAUCAGUUUUGACCGGUGGAUAAGGGCAGCAGGAAUGUGGCACCCUCGGGUGUGUUAUAGCCUGUCGUCGCAUACAUCGGUCGAGACUGAGGAACGCAGCUCGCCUUUAUGGCCGGGGUUCGCCCACGUCCGAGCUUAGGAUGUUGACAUAAUGGCUUUAAACGACCCGUCUUG